CAAUAGCGUAUAUUAAAGUUGUUGCAGUUAAAAAGCUCGUAGUCGGAUUUUGGCAUCACGCCGAACUGUCUGCCGAUUGGUAAGUACGGUUUGGCGGGUGCUUCCUUCCGGAGGCUCGUUCCCUUCUUCAUUGAAGGGUUCGUUGGUUCCGGGUCUUUUACUUUGAGAAAAUUAGAGUGUUCAAAGCAGGCCUAUGCUCUGAAUAGGUUAGCAUGGAAUAAUAAGAUAAGACCUUGGUCUAUUUUGUUGGUUUGUACUCCAAGGUAAUGAUUAAUAGGGACAGUUGGGGGUAUUCGUAUUCAAUUGUCAGAGGUGAAAUUCUUGGAUUUAUUGAAGACGAACUACUGCGAAAGCAUUUACCAAGGAUGUUUUCAUUAAUCAAGAACGAAAGUUAGGGGAUCGAAGACGAUCAGAUACCAU
This 420-nucleotide ribosomal RNA is filed under the name uncultured eukaryote. Its description in RNAcentral is "bacterial SSU rRNA". It matches the Rfam family "Eukaryotic small subunit ribosomal RNA", at positions 592 to 1018 of the family's 1831-position model. The record is from RNAcentral.